Perognathus longimembris pacificus (Pacific pocket mouse) is the source of this 139-nucleotide long non-coding RNA. RefSeq lists it as uncharacterized. The record is from RefSeq and is a predicted model, not a curated record. The transcript is spliced from 3 exons. Lineage: Eukaryota; Metazoa; Chordata; Mammalia; Rodentia; Heteromyidae.
CAGGCUGGGAUGUAGCACAGUGGCAAAAGUACUUGCCUAUUAAGUGCUAAGUCCUGGGUUCAAUCCCCAGUACCAAAAAAGAAAAGAAAAAAAAAAAACAGCCAGGCCCUGGAGGCUCCCACCUGUAAUCCUAGCUACU